AAAAAGGUUUUACUUAAAACUACCCUUGAAAACUUGAAUUUUUCAG
Xenopus laevis (African clawed frog) is the source of this 46-nucleotide non-coding RNA. NCBI's taxonomy places the organism in Eukaryota, Metazoa, Chordata, Amphibia, Anura, Pipidae. The record is from Rfam.